This 616-nucleotide ribosomal RNA is filed under the name Methylobacterium sp. x8w1. RNAcentral describes it as "bacterial SSU rRNA". It matches the Rfam family "Bacterial small subunit ribosomal RNA", at positions 57 to 717 of the family's 1533-position model. Lineage: Bacteria; Pseudomonadati; Pseudomonadota; Alphaproteobacteria; Hyphomicrobiales; Methylobacteriaceae. The record is from RNAcentral.
GCAAGUCGAGCGGGCAUCUUCGGAUGUCAGCGGCAGACGGGUGAGUAACACGUGGGAACGUACCCUUCGGUUCGGAAUAACGCUGGGAAACUAGCGCUAAUACCGGAUACGCCCUUUUGGGGAAAGGUUUACUGCCGAAGGAUCGGCCCGCGUCUGAUUAGCUAGUUGGUGGGGUAACGGCCUACCAAGGCGACGAUCAGUAGCUGGUCUGAGAGGAUGAUCAGCCACACUGGGACUGAGACACGGCCCAGACUCCUACGGGAGGCAGCAGUGGGGAAUAUUGGACAAUGGGCGCAAGCCUGAUCCAGCCAUGCCGCGUGAGUGAUGAAGGCCUUAGGGUUGUAAAGCUCUUUUGUCCGGGACGAUAAUGACGGUACCGGAAGAAUAAGCCCCGGCUAACUUCGUGCCAGCAGCCGCGGUAAUACGAAGGGGGCUAGCGUUGCUCGGAAUCACUGGGCGUAAAGGGCGCGUAGGCGGCCAUUCAAGUCGGGGGUGAAAGCCUGUGGCUCAACCACAGAAUUGCCUUCGAUACUGUUUGGCUUGAGUAUGGUAGAGGUUGGUGGAACUGCGAGUGUAGAGGUGAAAUUCGUAGAUAUUCGCAAGAACACCGGUGGCG